CUUUGCAUCGGAGCCCAGCCCAGUCGCCAGUCUACCUAUUCUGUGCACUGUGAACAGUGGAGCUUCAAAAAAACCAGCACAAAAGAGAAAGCUACGCGCGUCCAUGACCAUGAGAAAAACCUGCACUGCCACUCCACUAGGACUAGGAGCAAAAAGCACAGGUUGCGUUAUAUCCAUCUUCCAUCCACGCCUAGGGCUCUACUAGUCUAGGCCAAACAAGAGGGGAGCAGUACUAUUGUAGCAUACCAUAGCAUAGCUGCUGCUGACAAGCGACCGGCGGUGUGCCACACGCUCACACAGACAGACACAGCGCGCAUCAGCGAUGCGGGCGGGGGCGUACACGGUGCACCAGUCGCUCACCGCGGAGGCGGCCGCGGCGCUGCAGCUCUCGCUGGGCCUGGCGCGCCGCCGCGGCCACGCGCAGGUCACGCCGCUGCACGUCGCCUACACGCUGCUCGGCGGCUCCGAGCCGCCCCCGUCGUCGUCGUCGCCUCGGCUCUUCACCACCAUCGCCGCGUCCGCGCCGGCGUACGGUCUCCUCGUGCGCGCCUGCGCCAGGUCCCGCCGCCAGACGCACCCGGCGCAGCAGUGCCGGGCGCUGGAGCUCUGCUUCAACGUCGCCCUCAACCGCCUGCCCACGGGCACGGCCAACGCGGGGGGCUUGGGCUCCUCGCCCUCGCCCGCCACCUCCUUCGCGGCGUCGCUCCUCCAGCAGCAGCCCGCCAGCCCGACGCUGUCCAACGCGCUCGUGGCCGCGCUCAAGCGCGCGCAGGCCAAUCAGCGCCGCGGCUGCGUCGAGCUCCAGAGCCAGCCGUCGCCGCCGCCGCCACCGCCAGGCCAGCAGCCGCACUCCACCACCUCCCCGAGCCACCAGCAGCAGCAGCCUGUGCUCACGAUCAAGGUCGAGCUGGACCAGCUCAUCGUCUCCAUCCUCGACGACCCCAGCGUGAGCCGGGUCAUGCGGGAGGCCGGCUUCUCCAGCGCCGCCGUCAAGGCCAGCCUCGAGGAGGAGAGCGCCGCCAUGCUGGCUGCCCUCGGCAACCACCAGGUCCACCACCACGGCGCCUCCUCGACGCCGCCGCCGCCGCCGCCGUCCUCCCAUCAUCCUCCCACCGCGGCCGGAUUAGUACUACCGCCUCGUCACUUCUUCCUGCUGGACCCUUACGGAGGAGGAGGCUUCCCUGCGCACGCCGGUGCCUGCAGCGGCGCGCCGUGGGCAGCGCCCUUCCCGAGCGUCCACAGCCGCCACCCGCCCGAGCCCGACGACGUGAACUCCGAGCCCCCAUGCGAGGCGGAGGCGGAAGACGUGAGAGCGAUCGUGGAGGUGAUGACGCGGCGCCGGGGGAGACUCCGACGAGCCAACCCCGUCGUGGUCGCCGACUCCGCGCCCGCCGCCGAGGCGUGCGUCGCCGAGCUCGUGCGGCGGGUGGAGCGAGGAGGAGACGUCCCCGACGAGCUGCGCGGCGCGCGCGUCCUCCGCCUCCACCUCUCCCGCGCCCGCGUCCGCCUCAUGACCCGCGCCGACGCGGACGCGUGGGCGGCCGGCCUGCGCCGAAGCGUCGCCGGCAGUAACAGCACCGGCGCAGGCGGCGGCCUCGUCAUCUACGUCGGCGACAUGCGCUGGGCCGUCGACGACGGCACCGACGACGACGACCACGCCCGCGGCCUGCAGGGGCCGUCGUCGUCCGGCUCCUACAGCCCCGCUGCGCACCUGGCCGCGGAGCUCGCCCGCCUCCUCGCCGACCUCCGCCUCCGCGCCGCGUCGCGCGCCUGGCUGCUGGCGGCCGCCAGCUAUGCCACCUUCAUGCGCUGCCAGCGGUCGUCCCUGGACGUGACGUGGGGCCUGCAACCCGUGUCCGUCCCCGCUGGCGCUGGCGGCGGCGGCGGCCUCGGCCUGGAGCUCGGCCCUCGCGCUGCCACUGCAAGGUGACA
This is an RNA transcript of Zea mays, 1932 nucleotides long. It is a transcript of the gene named SMAX1 pseudogene, with no coding region annotated. The record is from RefSeq and is marked validated. The transcript has a single exon. Lineage: Eukaryota; Viridiplantae; Streptophyta; Magnoliopsida; Poales; Poaceae.